CACACCACGCCGUCCGAUAAACCAUAUAUAAAGGAAAGUAGAUCCAGUAUUGGCAACAUUAUCGUUUAUUUGUUCUUAUCAAUAGCUUGACGUGUCGUUAAUUAAUAAUUAUGCAUAUGUUUAUAAUUAGCGUUGCCGUGGCUGCCGUUUUCUUAUCGGUUUCCUCUGGACACCUACAGAAAAGAAGUCAUCGGAGAAGACGACCCUUUUGCAACCUUGCAACUAUAAGCUGUUCGAAAAUGCAAAGAGACGACUUAUGUAAAUGUUGUGAAGUUGAUCUGUGUGCUGCUGAACCUUGCCAAAAUGGUGGAACUUGUGUACCUGAGGCAGGUAAAGUGUCCUGUAAAUGUGCGGAUGGUUAUACCGGUGACAAAUGCGAGGUUGAUCUGUGUGCUGCUGAACCUUGCCAAAAUAGUGGAACUUGUGUACCAGAAGCUGGUGGAGUGUCCUGUUCAUGUGCAAAUGGAUUUACCGGUGAUAAUUGCGAGGUUGAUCUGUGUGCUGCUGAACCUUGCCAAAAUGGUGGAACUUGUGUACCAGAGGCAGGUAAAGUGUCCUGUAAAUGUGCGGAUGGAUAUACCGGUGAUAAUUGCGAGAAUGAUGAAUGUGAGCCGAACCCCUGUCAGAAUUGUGGAACUUGUUCUCGUAUCGAAGGGGGAUUCAAAUGUUCCUGCUUGAAUAGAAGGU
Patella vulgata (common limpet) is the source of this 687-nucleotide long non-coding RNA. RefSeq lists it as uncharacterized. The transcript is spliced from 5 exons. NCBI's taxonomy places the organism in Eukaryota, Metazoa, Mollusca, Gastropoda, Patellidae. The record is from RefSeq and is a predicted model, not a curated record.